Non-coding RNA from Oryza glumipatula, 201 nucleotides. The record is from Rfam. NCBI's taxonomy places the organism in Eukaryota, Viridiplantae, Streptophyta, Magnoliopsida, Poales, Poaceae.
AAUAAACUGUGGAUUUCUAUGUCCAACAUUUAACCGUCCGUCUUAUUUGAAAAAAUUGUGAAAAAAUUAAAAAGACAACUCACGUAUAAAGUAUUAAUCAUGUUUUAUCAUCUAAUAACAAUGAAAAUACUAAUUAUAAAAAAAUUUCAUAUAAAACGGACAGUAAGAUAUUGGACACGGAAAAAUAGAAUUUGUCUUUUU